RNAcentral lists this ribosomal RNA (251 nucleotides) under uncultured bacterium. RNAcentral describes it as "partial 16S ribosomal RNA". It matches the Rfam family "Bacterial small subunit ribosomal RNA", at positions 524 to 774 of the family's 1533-position model. The record is from RNAcentral.
UACGUAGGUGGCAAGCGUUAUCCGGAUUUAUUGGGCGUAAAGGGAACGCAGGCGGUCUUUUAAGUCUGAUGUGAAAGCCUUCGGCUUAACCGGAGUAGUGCAUUGGAAACUGGUUGACUUGAGUACAGAAGAGGGAAGUGGAAUUCCAUGUGUAGCGGUGAAAUGCGUAGAGAUAUGGAGGAACACCAGUGGCGAAGGCGGCUUCCUGGGCUUUUACUGACGCUGAGGCUCGAAAGCGUGGGUAGCAAACA